RNAcentral lists this ribosomal RNA (320 nucleotides) under uncultured eukaryote. RNAcentral describes it as "partial 18S ribosomal RNA". It matches the Rfam family "Eukaryotic small subunit ribosomal RNA", at positions 1470 to 1796 of the family's 1831-position model. The record is from RNAcentral.
CCCUUAGAUGUUCUGAACCGCACGCGUGUUACACUGAUGCAUUCAACGAGCUUUACCUUGGCCGAGAGGCCUGGGAAAUCUUUUUAGCAUGCAUCGUGAUAGGGAUUGAUUAUUGCAAUUAUUAAUCAUGAACGAGGAAUUCCUAGUAAACGCAUUUCAUCAAAAUGCAUUGAUUACGUCCCUGCCCUUUGUACACACCGCCCGUCGCACCUACCGAUUGAAUGGUCCGGUGAAAUCUCGGGACGGCGGCUUGGUCGCUUGCGUCCGACUGCUGAAACUUGAUUAAACCAUAUCAUUUAGAGGAAGGUGAAGUCGUAACA